Arabis alpina (gray rockcress) is the source of this 142-nucleotide non-coding RNA. Lineage: Eukaryota; Viridiplantae; Streptophyta; Magnoliopsida; Brassicales; Brassicaceae. The record is from Rfam.
AAAGCAGAGAUUGUGUGUAUCGGCUUGUGCUGUUUAAUGCAUUUUGUAUUGAAAGUUAUCUCUGCGAAAUCGAUUUGGGGCAGAUGGGCAGUUGUGAUUCAUUGUCAAUUGGAUAUACUCAACAAUCAUCUUCCCCACAUUU